GGGUCAGUAGGUUGGUCGUGCCACCGGUACGUACUGGUCUCACUGAUCCCUCCUUCCUGAAGAACCGUAAUGCCAUUAAUUUGGUGUUGCGGGGAAACAGGACUGUUACUUUGGAAAAAUUAGAGUGUUUAAAGCAAGCUAACGCUUGAAUACAUUAGCAUGGAAUAAUGAAAUAGGACGAUCGAUCCUAUUUUGUUGGUUUCUAGGAUUGACGUA
Molecule: ribosomal RNA, 216 nt
Filed under: Glomeromycotina sp.
Lineage: Eukaryota; Fungi; Glomeromycota
Description: partial small subunit ribosomal RNA
Rfam family: Eukaryotic small subunit ribosomal RNA (bases 75-216)
Source: RNAcentral